Hippopotamus amphibius kiboko is the source of this 422-nucleotide long non-coding RNA. RefSeq lists it as uncharacterized. Lineage: Eukaryota; Metazoa; Chordata; Mammalia; Artiodactyla; Hippopotamidae. The transcript has 3 exons. The record is from RefSeq and is a predicted model, not a curated record.
AAGCAUUUAGCAAAUGAAGAAACAUUUAUGCAAGAAAGUCUCCUAUAACUCAGUAAGAACAGCAAGAGUGUGUAGAAUCUGAAUUAUAACCGGCUCCUCCUCCGAGCUCAUUGUGACAGAAACUCCACUUCAGGCGUGUCAUAUGGUUGGAAUGAUAUGGUGCUGGAGCUGGGACUCCGCCAAGCACACGUCUGCUCUGCCAGUUGCCUCCGCCUGGGCUCUGCCACCAGAGGGCAGCUGCAGCGUGGGAGGAGGGAGAGCAGAGCGGGUCCCCUCUAGGCUCCCUUCUUCACUCCAGCAGUUGUAGCUCACUCCGGCAGGAGCUGUUGGGGCAGGCGUGCAGUGCUUCUAACACUCGCAGAACCAACUUCCUCUUGCCCACAUUUGAGGCAUUCCAGCCCCCAGUUCUGCCCCUCCCGCAA